Molecule: long non-coding RNA, 643 nt
Organism: Lemur catta (Ring-tailed lemur)
Lineage: Eukaryota; Metazoa; Chordata; Mammalia; Primates; Lemuridae
Exons: 3
Source: RefSeq, a predicted model, not a curated record
CUGCCCUUGGACGAGCUCCCCAAAGCGCCGCUGGGCCCCGGAAGUCCCAGGGCUCGGACGCCAGGCCCAGACAGUAAGCGAGCACAGCCUGUUUGCUCAAAGGUGGACAGCCACCACUUUGCUGGCCAUGAAGUCCGGAACGAAAGCCACAUCACCUCAGACCCAAAGACACCAGCAUGACCAGAGGCGUCUGGCCUCCGGAGCCAGUUGCAAUGACACAGACUGGCUCACCUGCAGCUCCCCGGGUUGAUCCCCACGUGAUCCCUGGAGCCUGAGAUCAGAGCGCAACACUCGGCCAUAGACCUCCUCACAGCAGGCGGCUCCCGGAGAGCAGGUCACGAGGAUGGGCUGAGCUCUGGGCUUGUCCAGACAGGCAGGCUCGACGUCUGCUCCCCUUGGCUUGCCACUCAGCAGGAGGGAUGGGGGCAAGAUGCUCUUCUCCCAUUUUACAGGUUUUUCUUCUUGGAAGUCAGCAAGUUUCCUUCACUUCCGUCUGGCUCGCGGGAGCUCUUCGAGUCAACAGUCCCUCUGCUGACUUCAUUGUGAAAAAAUAUUUUUAUUUUGUAUUCAGCUCUGUGCUGCACCCAUUGCCUGCUGCUUGACUUCUUGGAAUGUCAAGUGGGCUGAGUCCCAGACAUUUCAU